UCAGACACGUCAGAUUUGAUCCUGGCUCAGGAUGAACGCUAGCUACAGGCUUAACACAUGCAAGUCGAGGGGCAGCAUGAAUAUUGGCUUGCCAAUAUUUGAUGGCGACCGGCGCACGGGUGAGUAACACGUAUCCAACCUUCCGGUUACUCGGGGAUAGGCUUUCGAAAGAAAGAUUAAUACCCGAUGUUGCGUAUCUUUCUCCUGAAAGAUACGCCAAAGGAUUCCGGUAACCGAUGGGGAUGCGUUCCAUUAGGCAGUUGGCGGGGUAACGGCCCACCAAACCUUCGAUGGAUAGGGGUUCUGAGAGGAAGGUCCCCCCACAUUGGAACUGAGACACGGUCCAA
Molecule: ribosomal RNA, 347 nt
Filed under: uncultured bacterium
Lineage: Bacteria
Description: bacterial SSU rRNA
Rfam family: Bacterial small subunit ribosomal RNA
Source: RNAcentral